RNAcentral lists this ribosomal RNA (497 nucleotides) under uncultured bacterium. RNAcentral's name for it is "partial 16S ribosomal RNA". It matches the Rfam family "Bacterial small subunit ribosomal RNA", at positions 28 to 507 of the family's 1533-position model. The record is from RNAcentral.
GAUGAACGCUGGCGGCGUGCCUAAUACAUGCAAGUCGAGCGAACGGACGAGAAGCUUGCUUCUCUGAUGUUAGCGGCGGACGGGUGAGUAACACGUGGAUAACCUACCUAUAAGACUGGGAUAACUUCGGGAAACCGGAGCUAAUACCGGAUGAUAUUUUGAACCGCAUGGUUCAAAAGUGAAAGACGGUCUUGCUGUCACUUAUAGAUGGAUCCGCGCUGCAUUAGCUAGUUGGUAAGGUAACGGCUUACCAAGGCAACGAUGCAUAGCCGACCUGGGAGGGUGAUCGGCCACACCGGAACUGAGACACGGUCCAGACUCCUACGGGAGGCAGCAGUAGGGAAUCUUCCGCAAUGGGCGAAAGCCUGACGGAGCAACGCCGCGUGAGUGAUGAAGGUCUUCGGAUCGUAAAACUCUGUUAUUAGGGAAGAACAUAUGUGUAAGUAACUGUGCACAUCUUGACGGUACCUAAUCAGAAAGCCACGGCUAACUACGUG